UACAGAGGUCUCAAGCGUUGUUCGGAAUCACUGGGCGUAAAGGGUGCGUAGGCGGUCGGGUAAGUCUGAUGUGAAAUCUCACAGCUUAACUGUGAAACUGCAUUGGAUACUAUUCGGCUAGAGAGUUGGAGGGGGGACUGGAAUUCUUGGUGUAGCAGUGAAAUGCGUAGAUAUCAAGAGGAACACCAGUGGCGAAGGCGAGUCCCUGGACAACUUCUGACGCUGAGGCACGAAAGCUAGGGGAGCAAACAGG
This 253-nucleotide ribosomal RNA is filed under the name uncultured bacterium. RNAcentral's name for it is "partial 16S ribosomal RNA". It matches the Rfam family "Bacterial small subunit ribosomal RNA", at positions 524 to 776 of the family's 1533-position model. The record is from RNAcentral.